This 435-nucleotide unclassified non-coding RNA is filed under the name Hevea brasiliensis (rubber tree). Lineage: Eukaryota; Viridiplantae; Streptophyta; Magnoliopsida; Malpighiales; Euphorbiaceae. The record is from RNAcentral.
GCAACAUAUCCAUGAAAUAUAGCUGACUCCAGCUUCUUUGGGUUUUAAGGCUCUAUUGAGUUUAGUUGAGCUGGUUACAGAACUUCCAUUUAUUUGUGGUAUUUUAUAGCCUCUGCUAGUGCUACUUUUUGUCCCAUUUGGCAGACUAUAAUGUAAUCAAAUUUUAUAUUAAAUCUCAACAGAAAUUUUAAUUGCAUUAUGGUCUACCAAACAUAGAAGGCUUAUGAUAGUGUUCAAAGAGAUGUCUUAUAGAGAAUGUUAGAACAAAAGAGGGCAUUUAUUAGGUACAUACAAGCGUUGAAUGAUAUGUAUGAAUGAGGAACUACUAUUGUGAGUACAGUGGGAGGGGACACAAUAGAUUUUCCUAUCUCAGUUGGAUUACACCAAGGUUCAGCUGUAACCCCUUACAUUUUUACAUUAAUUCUAGAUGAAUGG